UGCGGGGUGGAGCAGUCGGUAGCUCGAUGGGUUCAUAUCUCAUAGGUCGGUGGUUCGAUUCCAUCCCCCGCUACUA
This 76-nucleotide transfer RNA is filed under the name Bifidobacterium panos. RNAcentral describes it as "tRNA-Met". It matches the Rfam family "tRNA". Rfam says of the family: Transfer RNA (tRNA) molecules are approximately 80 nucleotides in length. Their secondary structure includes four short double-helical elements and three loops (D, anti-codon, and T loops). Lineage: Bacteria; Bacillati; Actinomycetota; Actinomycetes; Bifidobacteriales; Bifidobacteriaceae. The record is from RNAcentral.